GUGCCUGUAGCACAAUGGACAACGCGUUGGACUUUUAAUUUAAAGAUCAUGGGUUUGAAUCCCACCAGGCAUG
Non-coding RNA from Trichonephila inaurata madagascariensis, 73 nucleotides. NCBI's taxonomy places the organism in Eukaryota, Metazoa, Arthropoda, Arachnida, Araneae, Nephilidae. The record is from the annotation of a GenBank genome assembly.